Molecule: ribosomal RNA, 462 nt
Filed under: uncultured Rikenellaceae bacterium
Lineage: Bacteria; Pseudomonadati; Bacteroidota; Bacteroidia; Bacteroidales; Rikenellaceae
Description: bacterial SSU rRNA
Rfam family: Bacterial small subunit ribosomal RNA
Source: RNAcentral
ACAAGCGGUGGAGCAUGUGGUUUAAUUCGAAGCAACGCGAAGAACCUUACCAGGUCUUGACAUCCCCUGACAACCCGAGAGAUCGGGCGUUCCCCCUUCGGGGGGACAGGGUGACAGGUGGUGCAUGGUUGUCGUCAGCUCGUGCCGUGAGGUGUCGGGUUAAGUCCCAUAACGAGCGCAACCCCUACCGCCAGUUGCCAACGGGUAAAGCCGGGGACUCAGGCGGGACUGCCGGCGUAAGCCGAGAGGAAGGCGGGGAUGACGUCAAAUCAGCACGGCCCUUACGUCCAGGGCUACACACGUGUUACAAUGGCCGGUACAGAGGGAGGCGACCCCGCGAGGGGGAGCGGAUCCCGAAAGCCGGUCGUAGUUCGGAUCGGGGUCUGGAACCCGACCCCGUGAAGCCGGAUUCGCUAGUAAUCGCGCAUCAGCCAUGGCGCGGUGAAUACGUUCCCGGGCCUU